GAUGAACGCUGGCGGCGUGCCUAAUACAUGCGAGUCGAGCGAACAGAUAAGGAGCUUGCUCCUUUGACGUUAGCGGCGGACGGGUGAGUAACACGUGGGUAACCUACCUAUAAGACUGGAAUAACUCCGGGAAACCGGGGCUAAUGCCGGAUAACAUUUAGAACCGCAUGGUUCUAAAGUGAAAGAUGGUUUUGCUAUCACUUAUAGAUGGACCCGCGCCGUAUUAGCUAGUUGGUAAGGUAACGGCUUACCAAGGCAACGAUACGUAGCCGACCUGAGAGGGUGAUCGGCCACACUGGAACUGAGACACGGUCCAGACUCCUACGGGAGGCAGCAGUAGGGAAUCUUCCGCAAUGGGCGAAAGCCUGACGGAGCAACGCCGCGUGAGUGAUGAAGGUCUUCGGAUCGUAAAACUCUGUUAUUAGGGAAGAACAAAUGUGUAAGUAACUGUGCACGUCUUGACGGUACCUAAUCAGAAAGCCACGGCUAACUACGU
This 496-nucleotide ribosomal RNA is filed under the name uncultured bacterium. Its description in RNAcentral is "partial 16S ribosomal RNA". It matches the Rfam family "Bacterial small subunit ribosomal RNA", at positions 28 to 506 of the family's 1533-position model. The record is from RNAcentral.